GGUUAAGUCCCGCAACGAGCGCAACCCCUGUCGUUAGUUACUAACAUUUAGUUGAGCACUCUAACGAGACUGCCGUAGAUAAUACGGAGGAAGGUGGGGAUGAUGUCAAAUCAUCAUGCCUCUUACGCCUUGGGCCACACCCGUGCUACAAUGCCCACCACAAAGAGACGCAAUACCGUAAGGUGGAGCAAACCUCAAAAAAGUGGGCCCAGUUCAGACUGAGGGCUGCAACCCGCCCUCACGAAGACGGAGUUGCUAGUAAUCCCGAAUCAGCAUGUCGGGGUGAAUGCGUUCCCGGGUCUUGUACACACUGCCCGUCACGCCAUGGGAGCCGGGGGUACCCGAAGUCAGUGGGCUAACCCGCAAGGGAGGCAGCUGCCGAAGGUAAAACUGGUGACUGGGGUGAAGUCGUAACAAGGUAGCCGUAUCGGAAGGUGCGGCUGGAUCACCUCCUUU
This 456-nucleotide ribosomal RNA is filed under the name Candidatus Onthoplasma faecipullorum. Its description in RNAcentral is "bacterial SSU rRNA". It matches the Rfam family "Bacterial small subunit ribosomal RNA", at positions 1078 to 1533 of the family's 1533-position model. Lineage: Bacteria; Bacillati; Bacillota; Clostridia; Christensenellales; Christensenellaceae. The record is from RNAcentral.